UACGUAGGGUGCGAGCGUUGUCCGGAAUUAUUGGGCGUAAAGGGCUCGUAGGCGGUUUGUCGCGUCGGGAGUGAAAUCCACUGGCUUAACUGGUGGCUUGCUUUCGAUACGGGCAGACUGGAGGUAUGCAGGGGAGAACGGAAUUCCUGGUGUAGCGGUGAAAUGCGCAGAUAUCAGGAGGAACACCAGUGGCGAAGGCGGUUCUCUGGGCAUGUCCUGACGCUGAGGAGCGAAAGUGUGGGGAGCGAACAGG
RNAcentral lists this ribosomal RNA (253 nucleotides) under uncultured bacterium. RNAcentral describes it as "partial 16S ribosomal RNA". It matches the Rfam family "Bacterial small subunit ribosomal RNA", at positions 524 to 776 of the family's 1533-position model. The record is from RNAcentral.